Molecule: ribosomal RNA, 439 nt
Filed under: uncultured bacterium
Lineage: Bacteria
Description: partial 16S ribosomal RNA
Rfam family: Bacterial small subunit ribosomal RNA
Source: RNAcentral
CCUACGGGAGGCAGCAGUGGGGAAUAUUGCACAAUGGGCGAAAGCCUGAUGCAGCAACGCCGCGUGAAGGAAGAAGGUCUUCGGAUCGUAAACUUCUGUCCAUGGGGAAGUUAAUGACGGUACCCUUGGAGGAAGCCCCGGCAAACUACAUGACAGCAGCCGCGGUAAUGCGGAGGGGGCAAGCGUUAUCCGGAGUUAUGGGGCGUAAGGCGUACUUAGGUGGUUACUUAAGAGCGGGGGUUAAGGCACGGGCUCAACCAUUGUUAGCCCUGCGAAAUGGGUUACUUGAGUGCAGGAGAGGAAAGCGGAAUUCGUAGUGUAGCGGUGAAAUGCGUAGAUAUUAGGAGGAACACCAGUGGCGAAGGCGGCUUUCUGGACUGUGACUGACACUGAUGCACGAAAGUGUGGGGAGCAAACAGGAUUAGAUACCCCUGUAGUC